GUAUUCAACUCUCUUCAACUUAUCCUCUCUCCCAAACUAGCUAUAUAAACCAACCAUCAUCGACCAUGAGAUUUAUGCUUCACAUUGGUUCGAUUGGAUAUCCAUCUCCCAAUUUUUUAAUCUCUUUCAGCUAACUUACAGUGCUUACUAUCUAUGGCCUCAGUUUGUCACCUCACAAACAUAUGGUCUCCGCCAAAAUUGAAGAAUUCUGAACGUUCUAGAUUCCUCGAGUUCAACAUUCUCUGAAAGCAUAAGUUAAGAUCUCCUUCAUCUCGGCGGUCUUGCCUUCUAUCUAUGCCGAUGAAACGGAGAACUCUUCGACGAUGUGUUGUUUCAAGCUCCCCGACGCCUAUGGCGGUCGAUGUCCACACAAAGGUGUCAAGGCUACAAAUGUAGUUUCCAGUGGAGCUUCCAUUGGUAUCUACAGUCUGUUGAGCUCAUGGAUGGUGGAUCAGACUACCUUGGAAAGGGUGUCUCUAAGGCUGUUGGCGAUGAACAAAAUAAACACUGGUGAUAGUUAAGAAACUGGUUGAAGACAGUAGGAGAGAUAUAGAAAAAGCUGUUGAGAAUGAAGAGAAGCUCCGUCAUUUGAAGACAAGAGUGUGAGUCACUAUGAAAUUUCGUCAAUACUUCUACCAAUGUUGUAGAAACACUUCUUUCAUCUGAGCGGCAAUUCCAAACUAUCGAAGCACGGCUGGUUGCUACGUCUAGACAGCUGGAAGGUGAGAAAGUGCAGAAAAAGGUAGAAGUUCAAAAGCUGAUGGAGGAGAACGUGAACAAUGCAAAGUCAUGGCUUUGAAUGCUUCAAACAUCUGAUUAUGCAUCUUUCAUCUCCUGCAAUGGCCUAUGUGAUUCGUAUGUUUUCAGAUUUGAUAUUCUGGUAACUCUGUACA
This is a long non-coding RNA of Brassica oleracea var. oleracea, 893 nucleotides long. RefSeq lists it as uncharacterized. The transcript is spliced from 4 exons. The record is from RefSeq and is a predicted model, not a curated record. NCBI's taxonomy places the organism in Eukaryota, Viridiplantae, Streptophyta, Magnoliopsida, Brassicales, Brassicaceae.